GGGGAUAUAGUUCAGUGGUAUAGUGCUUGCCUAGCAUGCAGAAGGUCCUGGGUUCAAUUCCCAGCACCG
This 69-nucleotide transfer RNA is filed under the name Fukomys damarensis (Damara mole-rat). It matches the Rfam family "tRNA". Rfam says of the family: Transfer RNA (tRNA) molecules are approximately 80 nucleotides in length. Their secondary structure includes four short double-helical elements and three loops (D, anti-codon, and T loops). Further hydrogen bonds mediate the characteristic L-shaped molecular structure. tRNAs have two regions of fundamental functional importance: the anti-codon, which is responsible for specific mRNA codon recognition, and the 3' end, to which the tRNAs corresponding amino acid is attached (by aminoacyl-tRNA synthetases). tRNAs cope with the degeneracy of the genetic code in two manners: having more than one tRNA (with a specific anti-codon) for a particular amino acid; and 'wobble' base-pairing, i.e. permitting non-standard base-pairing at the 3rd anti-codon position. Lineage: Eukaryota; Metazoa; Chordata; Mammalia; Rodentia; Bathyergidae. The record is from Rfam by way of RNAcentral.